AUUGAACGCUGGCGGCAGGCUUAACACAUGCAAGUCGAGCGGGGUGAUGGUGCUUGCACUAUCACUUAGCGGCGGACGGGUGAGUAAUGCUUAGGAAUCUGCCUAUUAGUGGGGGACAACAUCUCGAAAGGGAUGCUAAUACCGCAUACGUCCUACGGGAGAAAGCAGGGGAUCACUUGUGACCUUGCGCUAAUAGAUGAGCCUAAGUCGGAUUAGCUAGUUGGUGGGGUAAAGGCCUACCAAGGCGACGAUCUGUAGCGGGUCUGAGAGGAAGAUCCGGCACACUGGGACUGAGACACGGCCCAGACUCCUACGGGAGGCAGCAGUGGGGAAUAUUGGACAAUGGGGGGAACCCUGAUCCAGCCAUGCCGCGUGUGUGAAGAAGGCCUUAUGGUUGUAAAGCACUUUAAGCGAGGAGGAGGCUCUUUUGGUUAAUACCCAAGAUGAGUGGACGUUACUCGCAGAAUAAGCACCGGCUAACUCUGUGCCAGCAGCCGCGGUAA
Molecule: ribosomal RNA, 503 nt
Filed under: uncultured bacterium
Lineage: Bacteria
Description: partial 16S ribosomal RNA
Rfam family: Bacterial small subunit ribosomal RNA
Source: RNAcentral